ACGGAAGGCAGCGGUGGGGGAUAUUGCACAAUGGGCGCAAGCCUGAUGCAGCAACGCCGCGUGAGGGAAGAAGGUUUUCGGAUUGUAAACCUCUGUCCCCGGUGAAGAAGGAAGUGACGGUAACCGGGGUAGGAAGCCACGGCUAACUACGUGCCAGCAGCCGCGGUAAUACGUAGGUGGCGAGCGUUGUCCGGAUUUACUGGGUGUAAAGGGAGCGCAGGCGGGACAGCAAGUUGGAUGUGAAAUACCGGGGCUUAACCACGGAGCUGCAUCCAAAACUGCCGUUCUUGAGUGAAGUAGAGGUAGGCGGAAUUCCGAGUGUAGCGGUGAAAUGCGUAGAUAUUCGGAGGAACACCGGUGGCGAAGGCGGCCUACUGGGCUUUAACUGACGCUGAGGCUCGAAAGUGUGGGGAGCAAACAGGAUUAGAUACCCUGGUA
This 438-nucleotide ribosomal RNA is filed under the name uncultured Oscillospiraceae bacterium. RNAcentral's name for it is "bacterial SSU rRNA". It matches the Rfam family "Bacterial small subunit ribosomal RNA", at positions 341 to 792 of the family's 1533-position model. Lineage: Bacteria; Bacillati; Bacillota; Clostridia; Eubacteriales; Oscillospiraceae. The record is from RNAcentral.